UCGGGUACUUUAGUGGCGAACGGGUGAGUAAUACAUAGGUAACCUACCCUUAAGACGAGGAUAGCCAUUGGAAACGAUGGAUAAAACUGGAUAGGAUAUAGAGGAAGAAUCUUUUAUAUUUAAAAGAGAGAUCUGCUUAAGGAGGGGCCUGUGGCGCAUUAGCUAGUUGGUGGGGUAAGGGCCUACCAAGGCGAUGAUGCGUAGCCGGACUGAGAGGUUGAACGGCCACAAUGGAACUGAGAACGGUCCAUACUCCUACGGGAGGCAGCAGUAGGGAAUUUUCGGCAAUGGGGGGAACCCUGACCGAGCAACGCCGCGUGAACGAAGAAGUUAUUCGUAAUGUAAAGUUCUUUUAUCAGGGAAGAAAGAGGAAUUUGACGGUACCUGAGGAAUAAGCUCCGGCUAACUACGUGCCAGCAGCCGCGGUAAUACGUAGGGAGCGAGCGUUAUCCGGAAUCAUUGGGCGUAAAGGGUGCGUAGAUGGCAUAGUAAGUCUUUUGUAAAAAUGCUGGGCUCAACCCAGUAGGGCAAAAGAUACUGCAAAGCUAGAGUAUGACAGAGGCAAGUGGAACUACAUGUGUAGCGGUAAAAUGCGUAAAUAUAUGUAAGAACACCAGUGGCGAAGGCGGCUUGCUGGGUCGAUACUGACAUUGAGGCACGAAAGCGUGGGGAGCAAACAGGAUUAGAUACCCUGGUAGUCCACGCCCUAAACGAUGAGUACUAAGUGUUGGUGAGAAUCAGUGCUGAAGUUAACGCAUUAAGUACUCCGCCUGAGUAGUACGUACGCAAGUAUGAAACUUAAAGGAAUUGACGGGAGCCCGCACAAGCGGUGGAGCAUGUUGUUUAAUUCGACGAUACGCGAAGAACCUUACCAGGUCUUGAC
RNAcentral lists this ribosomal RNA (883 nucleotides) under uncultured bacterium. RNAcentral's name for it is "bacterial SSU rRNA". It matches the Rfam family "Bacterial small subunit ribosomal RNA", at positions 83 to 985 of the family's 1533-position model. The record is from RNAcentral.